GAAAGUAAAAAAGGGCGCAUGGCGGAUGCCUUGGCUCUCGGAGGCGAUGAAGGACGUGAUAAGCUGCGAUAAGCUUUGGGGAGGUGCAAAUGACCUUUGAUCCAGAGAUUUCCGAAUGGGACAACCCAAUAUCUUGAAGAGGUAUUAUCUUACUAUGUAAGAGGCUAACGCAGGGAACUGAAACAUCUUAGUACCUGCAGGAAAAGAAAAUAAACAAUGAUUCCCCCAGUAGUGGCGAGCGAACGGGGAACAGCCCAAACCAUCCAUGUUACGGCAUGGGUGGGGUUGUAGGACUACGCCGUUGCAUGAAGACAUCAGAGAAGAACUUUCUGGAAAGAAAGACCAUAGAGCAUGACAGUUGCGUAUUCGAAUGUUGUCGAAGCAUAGUAGUAUCCUGAGUAGCGCGGAGCACGAGGAAUUCUGCGUGAAUCUGCCGGGACCAUCCGGUAAGGCUAAAUACUCCCGAGAGACCGAUAGCGAACCAGUACCGUGAGGGAAAGGUGAAAAGCACUUCGAACAGAAGAGUGAAAUAGUUCCUGAAACCGUGCGCCUACAAGCGGUCGGAGCUCGUUAAUGAGUGACGGCGUGCCUUUUGCAUAAUGAACCUACGAGUUGCCUUUGCCGGCAAGGUUAAGUGUGACGACACACGUAUCCGAAGCGAAAGCGAGUCUGAAGAGGGCGUAUAGUCGGCAGUGGCAGACGCGAAACCAAGUGAUCUACCCUUGGCCAGGUUGAAGGCUGGGUAACACCAGCUGGAGGACCGCACCAAUAAGCGUUGAAAAGCUUCUGGAUGAGCUGAGGGUAGGGGUGAAAGGCUAAUCAAACUUGGAGAUAGCUCGUACUCCCCGAAAUGCAUUUAGGUGCAGCCUUGCGGGUUACUGAUGUGAGGUAGAGCGACUGAUAAGAUGCGAGGGCUUCACCGCCUAUCAAGUCUUGAUAAACUCCGAAUGCGCAGUAGUUCGAUCCCAGGAGUGAGGGCAUGGGUGCUAAGGUCCAUGUCCUAAAGGAGAAGAAUCCGGACCAUCAGCUAAGGUCCCGAAAUAAUUGCUAAGUUGAACUAACGAAGUCAGAUUGCUAAGACAGCUAGGAUGUUGGCUUGGAAGCAGCCAUUCAUUUAAAGAGUGCGUAACAGCUCACUAGUCGAGGAGUUUGGCGUGGAUAAUAAUCGGGCAUUAAGCAAUUUACCGAAGCUAUGGGAUCAGUAAUGAUCGGUAGGGGAGCAUUCCACUCUGCGUCGAAGGUGAAGCGUGAGCUUUGCUGGAGCGUGUGGAAAAGCAAAUGUAGGUAUAAGUAACGAUAAAGGGGGCGGGAACCCCCCUCGCCGAAAGACUAAGGUUUCCUGAUCAACGCUAAUCGGAUCAGGGUCAGUCGGGUCCUAAGGCUCAGCCGAACGGCGAUGCCGAUGGCAGAAACGGUUAAUAUUCCGUUACUACCUUCAGGAGUGACGUGGAGACGCAGUAGUGACAGUGCCGCCAUCUGACGGAAUAGAUGGUUGAAGGGUGUAGGAGUCGAUCAUGGCAGGCAAAUCCACCAUGAGAUCCGAACCUGACAGUAUGCCGCGUCCUUCGGGACAAGGCAAUAGUGCGCGUAAGCAUGCUGCCGAGAAAAUCCGCUAAACUUAAUCCUGGAGGUACCCGUACCGCAAACGGACACACGUAGUCGGGAUGAAUAUUCUAAGGCGCUUGAGUGAUUCACGGUUAAGGAACUAGGCAAACUGACCCUGUAACUUCGGGAUAAAGGGUCCCUACCCUUUUAUGGGAGGGCGCAGAGAAUCGGUCCAGGCAACUGUUUAACAAAAACACAGGGCUGUGCCAAAUCGAAAGAUCCAGUAUACAGCCUGACACCUGCCCGGUGCUGGAAGGUUAAGAGGAGAUGUCAUCGAUAAGAGAAGCGUUGAAUUGAAGCCCCAGUAAACGGCGGCCGUAACUAUAACGGUCCUAAGGUAGCGAAAUUCCUUGUC
RNAcentral lists this ribosomal RNA (1960 nucleotides) under human gut metagenome. RNAcentral's name for it is "bacterial LSU rRNA". It matches the Rfam family "Bacterial large subunit ribosomal RNA", at positions 1 to 1973 of the family's 2925-position model. The record is from RNAcentral.